This is a long non-coding RNA of Quercus robur (English oak), 731 nucleotides long. RefSeq lists it as uncharacterized. The record is from RefSeq and is a predicted model, not a curated record. The transcript has 3 exons. NCBI's taxonomy places the organism in Eukaryota, Viridiplantae, Streptophyta, Magnoliopsida, Fagales, Fagaceae.
UUGAAAAUUAGAAACACGGAAUUUAUAUAAAGCUACAGAACAAAUCAAAGUUUGAUAGAUAGCUCUCACAGUUUCUCAUUUUCUCUCUAGUAGCUCAAAUCUCUCUCACACAAAACUUAGAAAUUUCAAAGCCAAUUUCAUAGAUUUGGGUAAUUUUGUGUGAUUCUAAGAUGCUUCAUUCACUGGUUAUUGUGGAUUUACCCAUUCCCUCAUGACUCGUUCCCUUGAAGCAAUAUUGAUCGUGUUGAUUUUUCAUAAAGCUAUCUCUCUGGUCAUCCUGCUUUGAUUGCACGCCACCGACCAUUCCCUAUCACGCAUCGAGUUGCAGAGAGGUGGUUACAUCACAUGCAACAAGCAUUGGAUGGCACCACGGAUAUUGAUGCUGACUCAAAAGUCAGAAUGACGAAUUUUUCAGGCACAUAGCAUUCUUUCUUGUAGCUGGAGAUGAGUUGAAGAGUCAGAACCAACAACCUCAAUGUUAAGCAUGGGACCAGCAACCAGACUCCAUGUAAAAAUUUUUAACAAAUAUUUCCUAAUUCAGUUGUGAGAAGCAACAAAGUUACUAUUAUUCAUCAAACCUCCUUAAUGUAAAAGGAAUACUUCCUUACACCCUUUUCUCAAUAAAUCUUAUAAUGUCUACAUUCGCUUAACUGUUUUGUUAUUAUGCAAAAUUCUAGUGUUUAUAUUUGCUUCAUGGUGGUGAGCUCAUGAAGUUGGUUCCCAUUUCCCAG